UNUGACUUGAGUGCAGAAGGGGAGAGUGGAAUUCCAUGUGUAGCGGUGAAAUGCGUAGAUAUAUGGAGGAACACCAGUGGCGAAAGCGGCUCUCUGGUCUGUCACUGACGCUGAGGCUCGAAAGCGUGGGUAGCGAACAGGAUUAGAUACCCUGGUAGUNCACGCCGUAAACGAUGAGUGCUAGGUGUUAGGCCCUUUCCGGGGCUUAGUGCCGGAGCUAACGCAAUAAGCACUCCGCCUGGGGAGUACGACCGCAAGGUUGAAACUCAAAGGAAUUGACGGGGGCCCGCACAAGCGGUGGAGCAUGUGGUUUAAUUCGAAGCAACGCGAAGAACCUUACCAGGUCUUGACAUCCCGAUGCUAUUCUUAGAGAUAGGAAGUUACUUCGGUACAUCGGAGACAGGUGGUGCAUGGUUGUCGUCAGCUCGUGUCGUGAGAUGUUGGGUUAAGUCCCGCAACGAGCGCAACCCUUAUUGUUAGUUGCCAUCAUUAAGUUGGGCACUCUAGCGAGACUGCCGGUAAUAAACCGGAGGAAGGUGGGGAUGACGUCAAAUCAUCAUGCCCCUUAUGACCUGGGCUACACACGUGCUACAAUGGUCGGUACAACGAGUUGCGAGCCGGUGACGGCAAGCUAAUCUCUGAAAGCCGAUCUCAGUUCGGAUUGGAGGCUGCAACUCGCCUCCAUGAAGUCGGAAUCGCUAGUAAUCGCGGAUCAGCACGCCGCGGUGAAUACGUUCCCGGGCCUUGUACACACCGCCCGUCACACCACGAGAGUUUGUAACACCCGAAGUCGGUGAGGUAACCUUUUAGGGNCCA
RNAcentral lists this ribosomal RNA (816 nucleotides) under uncultured bacterium. RNAcentral describes it as "bacterial SSU rRNA". It matches the Rfam family "Bacterial small subunit ribosomal RNA", at positions 636 to 1451 of the family's 1533-position model. The record is from RNAcentral.